GUAUCCGGCGAACAUUACCUCUGACGCUGCCCUCCGAAGGCAGAGGCCAUAGGUUCGAAUCCUAUCGGGUGCA
RNAcentral lists this transfer RNA (73 nucleotides) under Pseudoroseicyclus aestuarii. It matches the Rfam family "tRNA". Rfam says of the family: Transfer RNA (tRNA) molecules are approximately 80 nucleotides in length. Their secondary structure includes four short double-helical elements and three loops (D, anti-codon, and T loops). Further hydrogen bonds mediate the characteristic L-shaped molecular structure. tRNAs have two regions of fundamental functional importance: the anti-codon, which is responsible for specific mRNA codon recognition, and the 3' end, to which the tRNAs corresponding amino acid is attached (by aminoacyl-tRNA synthetases). tRNAs cope with the degeneracy of the genetic code in two manners: having more than one tRNA (with a specific anti-codon) for a particular amino acid; and 'wobble' base-pairing, i.e. permitting non-standard base-pairing at the 3rd anti-codon position. The record is from Rfam by way of RNAcentral. Lineage: Bacteria; Pseudomonadati; Pseudomonadota; Alphaproteobacteria; Rhodobacterales; Paracoccaceae.